This 97-nucleotide signal recognition particle RNA is filed under the name Gammaproteobacteria bacterium. RNAcentral's name for it is "signal recognition particle sRNA small type". It matches the Rfam family "Bacterial small signal recognition particle RNA". From Rfam's summary of the family: The signal recognition particle (SRP) is a universally conserved ribonucleoprotein involved in the co-translational targeting of proteins to membranes. Archaeal SRP consists of a 7S RNA and homologues of the eukaryotic SRP19 and SRP54 proteins. Lineage: Bacteria; Pseudomonadati; Pseudomonadota; Gammaproteobacteria. The record is from RNAcentral.
UAUCGGCUCCCCCGCAACGAAAGACUGUGAACCCCGUCAGGCCCGGAAGGGAGCAGCGGUAGCAGUGACUACGGGUGCCGGGGUGUGGCUGGUGCGG